GAUGAACGCUGGCGGCGUGCCUAAUACAUGCAAGUCGAGCGAACAGACGAGGAGCUUGCUCCUCUGACGUUAGCGGCGGACGGGUGAGUAACACGUGGAUAACCUACCUAUAAGACUGGGAUAACUUCGGGAAACCGGAGCUAAUGCCGGAUAAUAUAUUGAACCGCAUGGUUCAAUAGUGAAAGACGGUUUUGCUGUCACUUAUAGAUGGAUCCGCGCCGCAUUAGCUAGUUGGUAAGGUAACGGCUUACCAAGGCAACGAAGCGUAGCCGACCUGAGAGGGUGAUCGGCCACACUGGAACUGAGACACGGUCCAGACUCCUACGGGAGGCAGCAGUAGGGAAUCUUCCGCAAUGGGCGAAAGCCUGACGGAGCAACGCCGCGUGAGUGAUGAAGGUCUUCGGAUCGUAAAACUCUGUUAUUAGGGAAGAACAAAUGUGUAAGUAACUAUGCACGUCUUGACGGUACCUAAUCAGAAAGCCACGGCUAACUACGUG
This 497-nucleotide ribosomal RNA is filed under the name uncultured bacterium. Its description in RNAcentral is "partial 16S ribosomal RNA". It matches the Rfam family "Bacterial small subunit ribosomal RNA", at positions 28 to 507 of the family's 1533-position model. The record is from RNAcentral.